CCUACGGGCGGCAGCAGUGGGGAAUAUUGCACAAUGGGGGAAACCCUGAAGCCGCGACGCCGCGUGAGGGAUGCAGGAUUUCGGUAUGGAAAACUCUAUCAGCAUGGAAGAUAAUUACGGUACCUGACUAAGACGCUCCGGCUAAAUACGUGCCAGCAGCCGCGGUAAUACGUAAGGAGCAAGCGUUAUCCGGAUUUACUGGGUGUAAAGGGAGCGAAGACGGCAGGGCAGGUCUGAUGUGAAAGUCCGGGGCUCAACCACGGGACUGCAUUGGAAACUGUACGGCUAGAGUGCAGGAGAGGUAAGUGGAAUGCCUGGUGUAGCGGUGAAAUGCGUAGAUAUUAGGAGGAACACCAGUUGCGAAGGCGGCUUACUGGACUGUAACUGACGUUGAGGCUCGAAAGCGUGGGGAGCAAACAGGAUUAGAUACCCGGGUAGUC
RNAcentral lists this ribosomal RNA (440 nucleotides) under uncultured bacterium. RNAcentral describes it as "partial 16S ribosomal RNA". It matches the Rfam family "Bacterial small subunit ribosomal RNA", at positions 338 to 795 of the family's 1533-position model. The record is from RNAcentral.